This 708-nucleotide ribosomal RNA is filed under the name Escherichia coli. RNAcentral's name for it is "partial 23S ribosomal RNA". It matches the Rfam family "Bacterial large subunit ribosomal RNA", at positions 2090 to 2797 of the family's 2925-position model. Lineage: Bacteria; Pseudomonadati; Pseudomonadota; Gammaproteobacteria; Enterobacterales; Enterobacteriaceae. The record is from RNAcentral.
CCCGUGAACCUUUACUAUAGCUUGACACUGAACAUUGAGCCUUGAUGUGUAGGAUAGGUGGGAGGCUUUGAAGUGUGGACGCCAGUCUGCAUGGAGCCGACCUUGAAAUACCACCCUUUAAUGUUUGAUGUUCUAACGUUGGCCCCUGAUCGGGGUUGCGGACAGUGUCUGGUGGGUAGUUUGACUGGGGCGGUCUCCUCCUAAAGAGUAACGGAGGAGCACGAAGGUUGGCUAAUCCUGGUCGGACAUCAGGAGGUUAGUGCAAUGGCAUAAGCCAGCUUGACUGCGAGCGUGACGGCGCGAGCAGGUGCGAAAGCAGGUCAUAGUGAUCCGGUGGUUCUGAAUGGAAGGGCCAUCGCUCAACGGAUAAAAGGUACUCCGGGGAUAACAGGCUGAUACCGCCCAAGAGUUCAUAUCGACGGCGGUGUUUGGCACCUCGAUGUCGGCUCAUCACAUCCUGGGGCUGAAGUAGGUCCCAAGGGUAUGGCUGUUCGCCAUUUAAAGUGGUACGCGAGCUGGGUUUAGAACGUCGUGAGACAGUUCGGUCCCUAUCUGCCGUGGGCGCUGGAGAACUGAGGGGGGCUGCUCCUAGUACGAGAGGACCGGAGUGGACGCAUCACUGGUGUUCGGGUUGUCAUGCCAAUGGCACUGCCCGGUAGCUAAAUGCGGAAGAGAUAAGUGCUGAAAGCAUCUAAGCACGAAACUUGC